This 1045-nucleotide long non-coding RNA is filed under the name Piliocolobus tephrosceles (Ugandan red Colobus). RNAcentral describes it as "lncRNA (ENSPTEG00000019567.1)". Lineage: Eukaryota; Metazoa; Chordata; Mammalia; Primates; Cercopithecidae. The record is from RNAcentral.
AAAUAUAAAAAUGAAUGGUAAUGACAGAAAUAAUAAGACGUUACAUACAAAAAGUAAAUCAACUUUAUAUACAUUUGCAAAUAAUUAAUUAUUUAUUUUUUUUUUAAACAGAUAAAAUUAAUCCAAUAAUGAAUAGGGAAGUUAAAAUAAACAGCAAAAGUGAUUUUAUACAUUACUUAAAAAUAUUAAACCACGUGGGAUUUUUUGAAGAUGCAAUUGCUUUAGUUAAAUCCGUCAAAUUUGAUAUUUAUUGUCUGAAUUAUACAGAAGCCCAAGUAUUGGGAUCUGUUUUCAGAAGUGCUUUAAAUGUUAAAAGGAAAGAAAAGAAAACAUUAGAGAAAUAUAUGAAAGAAGUAAUUACUUGUGAAGCAAGAAUGAAAUGUGCUGAAUUACAUAUAGCCAAAUUAAUUAAAGAUAUAAAAUAUAUAGAACUAACUAUUUAUAAUACCAUUAAAAAUAAAUGUAUUACUAAAACUAAUGACGAGCAAACAUUAAUGUGUUACUGGCAUUUAAUUGGGGAUGUUAUGAGAUAUAGCGCAGAAACAAUGAAUGUAGAAAAAAGGUAUAGGGUGCAAGAAAAAAGCCAGCUAGCAUACACUAAUGCCUUGAAAUAUGCAAACAAACUGAAAAUACCUUCAUCAAGAUCAGAAAAAUUAGAAGUUAUAAUUGGUUUAGCAGGUAAACAUACACAUAUAUACAUAUAAUAUAUGUCCAUUUGGUGUACAUAUUUUUUACAUACACGUAUGUAAAAGCUUAUGGAAUUAUAGAACUUUUUUAUAAAUACUAUUUAUUUUUUUUUAUGAUUUUUAGUUUUAAACAAAGAUAUGGGUAAAGAUAUAAAUGUUUCUAUAGAGAUGUUAGCACAAGCAUUUAGAGAUGCAAUUCAAAAUAUGCACCUUCUUGAGUAAUAUAUAAAAUGAAUUAAUUUGCUUAAAACAAUUUUUUUAGAAAUAAUAAUUAUGCUUUUUAUUUUUUUUAUUUACUGUAUAUAAAAACAGUGUGUUUGCAUGCGUAUAUAAAAACAUUGUGUUUGCAUUCAUAUAUA